RNAcentral lists this ribosomal RNA (770 nucleotides) under uncultured bacterium. RNAcentral's name for it is "bacterial SSU rRNA". It matches the Rfam family "Bacterial small subunit ribosomal RNA", at positions 567 to 1334 of the family's 1533-position model. The record is from RNAcentral.
GCGCGCAGGUGGUCCCUUUAAGUCUGAUGUGAAAGCCCAGGGCUCAACCGUGGAGGGUCAUUGGAAACUGGGGGACUUGAGUACAGAAGAGGAAAGUGGAAUUCCACGUGUAGCGGUGAAAUGCGUAGAGAUGUGGAGGAACACCAGUGGCGAAGGCGACUUUCUGGUCUGUAACUGACACUGAGGCGCGAAAGCGUGGGGAGCGAACAGGAUUAGAUACCCUGGUAGUCCACGCCGUAAACGAUGAGUGCUAAGUGUUAGAGGGUUUCCGCCCUUUAGUGCUGCAGCUAACGCAUUAAGCACUCCGCCUGGGGAGUACGGUCGCAAGACUGAAACUCAAAGGAAUUGACGGGGGCCCGCACAAGCGGUGGAGCAUGUGGUUUAAUUCGAAGCAACGCGAAGAACCUUACCAGGUCUUGACAUCCUUAUGACCGCUCUGGAGACAGAGUUUUCCCUUCGGGGACAUAAGUGACAGGUGGUGCAUGGUUGUCGUCAGCUCGUGUCGUGAGAUGUUGGGUUAAGCCCCGCAACGAGCGCAACCCUUGAUCUUAGUUGCCAGCAUUCAGUUGGGCACUCUAAGGUGACUGCCGGUGACAAACCGGAGGAAGGUGGGGAUGACGUCAAAUCAUCAUGCCCCUUAUGACCUGGGCUACACACGUGCUACAAUGGAUGGUACAAAGGGCAGCAAAACCGCGAGGUUGAGCGAAUCCCAUAAAACCAUUCUCAGUUCGGAUUGCAGGCUGCAACUCGCCUGCAUGAAGCUGGAAUCG